Molecule: ribosomal RNA, 563 nt
Filed under: uncultured archaeon
Lineage: Archaea
Description: bacterial SSU rRNA
Rfam family: Archaeal small subunit ribosomal RNA
Source: RNAcentral
GCGAAUCGCCCUUCGGGGUGCCCAGGCGCGAAACCUCCACAAUGCGCGAAAGCGUGAUGGGGUUAUCCCGAGUGCUGUCCGUAAGGAUAGCUUUUCUCCAGUGUAAGUAGCUAGAGGAAUAAAGGGGGGGCAAGUCUGGUGUCAGCCGCCGCGGUAAUACCAGCCCCCUGAGUGAUAGGGACAUCUAUUUAGCCUAAAGCGUCCGUAGCCGGCUUAGCAAGUCUUUCGUUAAAUCUGGCGACUUAAUCGUCAGGCCGCGGAAGAUACUACUAGGCUAGAGGGCGGGAGAGGUUGACGGUAGUCCCGGGGUAGGGGUGAAAUCCUAUAAUCCCGGGAGGACCACCAGCGGCGAAGGCGGUCAACUAGAACGCGCCUGACGGUGAGGGACGAAAGCUGGGGGAGCAAACCGGAUUAGACACCCGGGUAGUCCCAGCUGUAAACGAUGCGGGCUAGGNUGUUGGAGCAGCCACGAGCUGCUCCAGUGCCGCAGAGAAGUUGUUAAGCCCGCCGCUUGGGAAGUACGGCCGCAAGGCUGAAACUUAAAGGAAUUGGCGGGGGAGCAC